GAGAGAGAGAGAGAGAGUGUGUGUCAGGGCCUUUUAGAGAGGAUGGGAACACGCAAGGCAUUUUAGAUUUUUAAUGGGCCCUUGUGGGGCCCAUUAGAGGUGAAUGAAUAUACAGACCGUUCGAUCGACAACACUGGACCGGCUGUGAUCUAGAUUUCUGUAGAAUCGGAUGCAUGAUAACUAAUUGCUCUGCCUUUCUGGACUUCUGAGCUUCAGAGCCCAAUGCACAAGCCCAAGUUCUCACCCAGAAGCCCUACCGUCCUCCCCUCUGCAUCUUCUUCUUCCCUUCUCCAAACCCUAAACUCACUCUUCUCCUUUUGCGGCGGCCGCAGCUUCAUUUUGACGGUUGAACCUCUGCGAUCCUUUCGAGAAAAUGGCACCCAAGAAGGAUAAGGCUCCACCUCCGUCUUCUAAGCCAGCCAAAUCUGGUGGAGGGAAGCAGAAGAAGAAGAAAUGGAGCAAGGGUAAGCAAAAGGAGAAGGUGAACAACAUGAUUUUGUUCGAUCAAGCCACCUAUGACAAGCUUCUUUCUGAGGUUCCCAAGUACAAGCUUGUCACUCCUUCAAUCUUGUCCGACAGAUUGAGGAUCAAUGGAUCUCUGGCACGUCGGGCAAUCAAGGAUCUGAUGGCAAAAGGUGGUAUCAGGAUGAUAUCUGCUCAUGCUAGCCAGCAGAUUUACACAAGAGCCACCAACACCUAGGAGAAAAUGAAUUAGUCUGCAUUUUGCUUUUAACUCAUAGGAUGUUUCUCAUUUUCCGAGAUGCCAACUUUAUCUUUGCCUUUUCAUUUUCUUUACUUGUGACCUUUAAAGAUUGUUUACACCUUUACAGUGAGUGCUCUGUUUUUUUGGCUACCAAUCGAACUGGAUACAAUAACGAGCACGAGUCAUUUUGGCUUCUUACCCGGGUUCCUUCCUUCACUGGAGCAGACAAUAGUGAUUCUUUAAUGGGUGACAGCUUAAUUUGAACUAGCCUUAAUAUAAUUAACUUAAUUUGAGCCAGUCUUAAUAUUAUUUUAUACUAAGUUGAUUCAUGUGAGUUUCACCUGUAUUAGAAUGUAGACUGAUGAUUGCUUGCACAAUUUGAUAUUUUCCAAUUUAUGUAUCAUGGAAUAGUGUUGGACCAUGUGGGGCAGCUCCCUUCAUGCGAGUAGAAG
Molecule: unclassified non-coding RNA, 1155 nt
Filed under: Hevea brasiliensis (rubber tree)
Lineage: Eukaryota; Viridiplantae; Streptophyta; Magnoliopsida; Malpighiales; Euphorbiaceae
Source: RNAcentral